Long non-coding RNA from Galeopterus variegatus (Sunda flying lemur), 550 nucleotides. RefSeq lists it as uncharacterized. NCBI's taxonomy places the organism in Eukaryota, Metazoa, Chordata, Mammalia, Dermoptera, Cynocephalidae. The record is from RefSeq and is a predicted model, not a curated record. The transcript is spliced from 2 exons.
AAGAGUCUUGGCUCUGGGGGAGAUGGAUGUGGUGAAGAAGGAGGUCAACACUCUCCUGCUGAGGACAGAGGCUUAGGUCACAGUGCUGGCUGGCCAGCUGCAAUGGGGACCAGCCAUCAAGGUAAACGCAGGCGCCUCAUGAUCUUCUGCAGUCUCCCCCACAAGCCUGGGCCUCCAGCACAGAGCAGGGCACCCCUCCCUGGCCUUCAAACCUGUGGCCCAUGAGAGGAGUGGCAGUGCCCAAGCGUGAGCCACAGAGACACAGACGAGUCACAGCAGUCCAGGAACAAGACGGCAUCCAGCUUGUGAGAACCAGAUAACGCCCACAUCCCAAGAACGAGUUGAAGAGUUCCAAGACUGACCAUGAGAUAAAUGCCUGGAGUCUGCAAGAUUGCACGUAGCAGCUCCCCAACAGGAAUGACCUCCCCCCUUGUUUCCCACACUCUUCCCUUUGAAAAGCCUUGCUGAGUCUCCUGAGCCCUUGAUGCAGUUUUAGGCAGGCUGUCCCCUCAGGUGUCUGAUAGUAAAGCUUCCAAACCUUGCAUCAACA